Long non-coding RNA from Rosa rugosa (rugosa rose), 1169 nucleotides. RefSeq lists it as uncharacterized. The transcript has 5 exons. NCBI's taxonomy places the organism in Eukaryota, Viridiplantae, Streptophyta, Magnoliopsida, Rosales, Rosaceae. The record is from RefSeq and is a predicted model, not a curated record.
UCUCCGAACCCAGCUUAGCUUCCUAUUGAUUUUGGAUUGAUUUUGGAGCUGCUUUUGGGACCAAACGUGCUUUUACAAUUUAGUUGGGCUGUUUGGUAAAACCUGUAGAAUCAGCUUCCAUCCGGAAGCGAUUCCUUGAACCGCAGAAAUCAGGAAGCUCAAUUUCUUAGCUUUGGAAAUCUGCUUCUGCGGGAAUCAAGUUGAAGACGCGGAAGUGUUAAUGAAAUUUCUGAUAUUGGCGAAAUUGUCCUUCUGGUUUUCUUGUUUCUUCUUUCACGUCCACAUCCUCCGCUCUCUGACUGGCGAUCGUCAAAGCAGACAUGUACCUGAUUCAUAGCACCAGAGGAACUUGACUCGAGUUCCAUUGUUUCUGUUGCUCCAACUUUUUGCAGGCUCUUGGCCGGAGAAGGUUAGAAAUGUCACUGAGACGUCGUGACGUUGAGCAGUGGAUGAGCCAUAGACGUUUGCCAGAUGAGCUAGGGAGAUAGGUGAGUUUUUUUUUCCAUGACUUUGGACAUCUUCGGGCAAUUCCAUGGGUGUUUGGACAUCUUCGGGCAAUUCCAUGGGUGUUUGCAUGGACUCAAACCAGAUUUGUCUUCCAGCUUGGCUUGGAGUUAAACCCCUUGUUGAUCUUUUUGUGAGAGCAUCAAACACACCAGCCAUAAAGAUGUAUGAGAAGAGUCCCAUAUUGAAUCUGUCAUUCUUGCCGCUAUGCAGACGUACUUCCUAGUUCCAAUCUCUGCCUCAUGUUUUACGUUCUCUUUUUACCAAGCUUUGUGGUUGUGACUAGGGAAAUGUUUUGUUGGCAGGCCAUCCCUUGGAUGAGAAAUUAUAAUGGUGUAUGGGUGCUAUAUUUUUACAUUUAGACUCAUGAAGAUCUAUCAGUGAUUGUCAUCCUUUCCAAAGGUUUCUUUUAGGGUAUGUUUCUGUGGAAUCUGACAAAAGAAGAGAAUUGUUUUCAACACUCUCAAGUUCAACAAUGUGAUGCUUAGAAGCACAAAAUUGGUUCAUAGUUCAAGUGGUGACUUAGAAUGAUUUAUUGGGAAAUUCUUUACAUUCCUAGAAAGACUUUUAUUUCGAGCAGUAAAACAUUUCAAAAUUGUCAUGAUGUAAUUUGGUCGGAAUUUGCUUUCUCAAAAUUCGCUUUUGGAUUGGAGCAGUUUAUCAUA